RNAcentral lists this ribosomal RNA (254 nucleotides) under uncultured bacterium. Its description in RNAcentral is "partial 16S ribosomal RNA". It matches the Rfam family "Bacterial small subunit ribosomal RNA", at positions 524 to 776 of the family's 1533-position model. The record is from RNAcentral.
UACGAGGGGUGCUAGCGUUGUUCGGAAUCAUUGGGCGUAAAGCGUGCGUAGGCGGCUUAGUAAGUCAGCUGUGAAAGCCCAAGGCUCAACCUUGGAACUGCAGUUGAAACUACUAUGGCUAGAGUAUGGUGGGGGAUAGUGGAAUUCCUAGUGUAGGGGUGAAAUCCGUAGAUAUUAGGAGGAACAUCAGUGGCGAAAGCGACUAUCUAUACCAUUACUGACGCUGAGGUACGAAAGCGUGGGGAGCAAACAGG